AUGGCGGCGGUAACAUGGUGGGGGUAGAGUUGGCGCUUCUCUGAUAAUCUAGGACUCUACUCUACUCGUCGGAGUCAACCUCCACAAGAAGAAGAUGAAAUUUAAAUGGCACGAUUGAACACAAGGAAGAACGAUGUUUGAUUAAAUCGAUGUGGAAUUUUUAAUGAAGUAAGUAAUAAUAUUCGAGGAGAUCGCUGAUAUAUAAAGUACCAGUGAAAAGAACUAGGUUACGUGUUGCUUAUACUAUGGCACAAUCAACAACAAGCGGAACUUCCUCACGACGAUAUAUGAGGGAGCCCGAGAUGCCCUCCUCAUCACGUUAUAUGGACAGCGAAUGGGAGUCCAAGGAGGCUUUACGACAAAGGGAACUUGAAGAGGCAAGAGCACGAGCGGCACAAAUGGAAAAAACAAUGCGAUGGUGGUCAGAUUGUACUGCUAAUUGGCGUGAAAAAUGGAGCAAAGUUCGAAAUGAGAGAAACGCAGCUAGAGAUGAAGCAAAAGCUCUCAGGGCAAAAUUAGAAAUUGCUGUCAAAGAUGCGAACACUUUCAAACAUGAGUCCCAAGAAUUGGAACUGCAAAAUGAGCAACUAAAGAAAGAAAUGGAAAAGAUACAUAUGAUACUCUUGAAACAUGCUGGGCAGUUUGACCAACAGAUCUUUACCAUUUUAGAAUCAGACCCACAAUUGAGAGCUACCUUUGGGUUAGACGAACAGUUGGAGUUUUAUAGUAACAUGGAAUCCAGUGAUACAUUAAAUACUCAAAGAAAUAUACUUUCCUGUAAAACUUUGCAUGAAGCAUCAGAUGUUGCUUCAGGUCAUAAUAUCUUGCCAGAAAGGGAUAUUGAGGAGUAUGUUUUGCAAGGUGCAGUCCCAAAACAUGCAGUGGAAUUAUAUAAAGAGAGUCCUAGUGAUUCACUAGAUAAAAAUAUCACAAAACUAGUCGUGGAUAGUAAUGCUAAAAAGGACACACUAGAGAAGCAACAAUUGUCUUUAGAUGUGUAUAACAAAGAAUCCCUAACACAGAAAAUGUCAACAUUGCAACUUAAACUGGAAGAAGCAACAAAAACUAUUUCUGUAGAAAGAGAGGAAAAAGAUUCUUUACAUCGUACUGUGGAAAAAUUGAAAGCUGAGCUUAAACAAUUAAGGGAACAAUGUGAGGAACUGUGUGAGAGUAGAGCAGAUACAAUGAGAGAAUUGUCUGAGUUAAAAGAGCGAUUUCAACUUGAACUUAAUGAUGAACAUAUAGCUGAUUUAAUGGAUGAUACUAGUAAUGGAGAGGGUAUGGAUCGUCGUUUAAGUGAAUUGAGAACAGAACUAGAAAGACUUCAAGUUGAAAAUGCAGCAGAAUGGAGUAAAAGGGAGAGAUUAGAGACUGAAAAAAUUUCUUUGGAACGAGAAAACAAGCUGCUUCGUCUAAAAUUAUAUGAAUUGCAAGAGAAAAUGGAAUCACGGCGACCACGACCGGUAUCUACAGCUGACACAGACACGAGGCAAUUACAGCAUGAAAUUCUAGUUCGCAACAUGGUAUUACUUGAAGUGAAGCAGUAUCAAGCGGCACUGAAACAAUCCUUAGCAGAAAAAACAACAGAGUUAUCGCACGCGAUGAGACGGUCUGAGCAAUAUGAGGCAGAAGUGAAGCGAGUGAGAGCGAGAGUCGAGGAGUUGAAGAAAGAACUGGCCGCUGCUCAAGAUGAAGUCGAUGCAACUACGAACAGCGUACGAAAAUUACAACGAACCAAUGAGGAUCUUAUGGAACAAUUAGAGUCUGCAAAUGUGCAACUAGAGCAUUUUAGAAAUAGCAAAAACGAAUCAUGUGCAGCAGAUACUGAUGUAAAUGGAGCAGGAGAACAAAAGUUCCAAAUAAACAAUUCCGAUGAAUACGCUGAAGUUUAUGAUCGACAGCAAGCCUAGUAUUCGCUCGUGUCGAUAGCAAUGACGGGUUUAAAUCAGAUAGUAAAAAUGCAAAUUGGAUAGGUGAUCUUUCAGCGGGCCUAAAGUACACAAUUUAACUUUUUUUUAUAUUUAUCUAUUGAACGUGAUUCUUCGACGAAUUGUACAUGUCGAAUAAUUAUUGUGAGUUACGCGUUUAUCGUGUUUCAUGAUAAACGUAAAACAUCAAUACUUCCAGUAGCAUACUGGUGUACAUAAAGAUAUAUUGUGUGUGUAUAUAUAUUUACACAUAUGAUACAUAUACAUAAUGAAACUAUGUUUCGUCGCCUCGAAAAAGAUUAGCGAAAUCAAUUAAUGAAAUACAAUAUGUGUACAAGAUACGAUACCUGAUAUUUAUAAUUGAACUUUUUAUCUCAAUAUCGAAAAUCUAUAUAAUAUAAGUUUAAAAAAGCAAUACUCUACAAAUUUACCACAUCACAAAUAUGUUAAAUUGUAGAUAGAGAUAUAAAACUUGAACAAACCUUCACACACACACACACACACAAUAAUCUACAUCAAAUCUCGAAAAAAAAAGAAAGAGGAGAUUGUUGUUCAUUAUAUUUAUUAACUGGUGAGAAAAAAAAAGACGAAAAGACAUUUUUCU
RNA transcript from Formica exsecta, 2532 nucleotides. It is a transcript of the gene named coiled-coil domain-containing protein 102A, with no coding region annotated. The record is from RefSeq and is a predicted model, not a curated record. NCBI's taxonomy places the organism in Eukaryota, Metazoa, Arthropoda, Insecta, Hymenoptera, Formicidae. The transcript is spliced from 8 exons.